GCACCAGGGCUUGGUACUGCCUCAAUAUUCUGCAGUUUACGGCCAUUCUAGACCCAUAAUUUCCAUGAUUCCUCUGUGAAAUGUAGAGAAGAACUGAUGACACUUCACAGACUGGGGAAACCAAAAUACACCUGUAAGACUGGAUUUCAUACCAUUAAGGACCAACAAAUUUCCCUUUUACCUCUUACCACCGAUGGUCACCAUUUACUCAGUACAACUGUCACCAUUUUCUUGACUACCAAUGGACAUUAUUGUGUGAGUGGCUUUUUUACAUGUCUGGAUGGACCGAAGGCCCUUGUGUGGGCAGGCACUGAUCUGUCUCAUUUACCACUGUAGCCCCGCUAUCCAACAAAGAACCUGACACUUGCAAGGAGCUCAGCAAUCUUCAUGUAAGCAAAGAGUGAAGAAUACUAGUGGGAGGAAGUGUGAGUGCUCGUGGCGUGAUGUUCAGCAAGGCGUGCCACUCACUGCCGCCCUCACGUCUGAACUCCUGAGCAGUCCCACGGGGCGAGGGCAAAAUGAACCUUGUUUCCUUUCCUCCUCCUGCCAAAGUCCGAAAGUCACAUUCUGCAGACUUUCAGGAAAUUUGACUUGCUCACUUCAGUAGGGUUCAAUGCAGCAAUUUCUGGGUGGAAGUGGAGUUGGGGGAAGGGCACGCUGGCACUGAGGCAGGUGGGCUCUGAGCAGUGUAGGCUGGUGAGCCAGGCUGAGGGCCACCUCCUUGCUCAGUGCCAGCAGAGCCCACGCUCACCAAAUGUCCAUGGUUCCGAAGCACCUUGGUGAAGGAUGACACCAGUGGGCUCUGGUGCCUGAGGGUGUGGCCAGGGUGGGCUGAAUCAGUGGCAUGGCAGCUUCCCUCUGGCAGGGUCCUGCCAACUACCAGCCUCCCUGCUCCUGAGGAAGCAGAACCAGGGGAGGUGUGGUCCAGGCUGCCCUGCUAUCUCCUGCGGUUCAUCCCAGCCAUCCAGGAGGAGAAGGGGUGUGUGUGAGGGGAGCAGCAGCACAGAAAUAGCCUGCAGUGUUUAGAAGGGAGGACCCCAAGGAAGUGCCCAGGCUAAUCGACCAAAAACUCCUGCUGGGACAUUGCUCUUGCUUCCAGUUGCUUCGGUCUGCCUCUCAUCUCAACUCUGGCUACAGAAAUAUGUGUGUCCCUUCGCAAGCUCGCUGUUUUAUUUUUAAAAGUAUUCUGCUCUACUGUGAGCCAUGAACAGAAGCUCCCCUUGUGGAACAAAGAGUUAAUCUCCCUGCAGUGGCAUCCUGUCAGCCCCUCGGAACCUGUGUCAGCGUUCUCCUUCCCGCUCCCCCUGUGGACUGCCUCUGGCUCACUCGCUGCACACAAAGGCUCCUCUGUUUCUGGCCGGGCUGGAGUCACAUGCUUUCACUCUUAACCCCGGAGCUUUAAAGCUAAACACCCACCCUCUUUGGCCCCAGAUGACCCUGUUUACGUCUGCUGAGCCAAUUCCAAACAGCAACAGUAGUGAAAACUUCUGUCGGGAGAGACUUCUCAACUACUGGUGUAGAGAGAACAAAUCUUCACUUUGUAUAAUGCGAGGACUUUAAGAAGUUUUGGGAAAUGGCUGAGAGGAAAAAAACACAAGGAAGCCAGCAGCCUGCCCCAACUUCUCUAUUUUCUAAAGUAUCUCUUACCAGAGACCCCCGGUGGGGCUCGGGAUAAAGCUUGCAAGAAACAGAAAAUGCAAGGGCUGGUGGCAUGGUGCCACACCUACGGCAAGGAGAACUGAGGAAUAUGGUCCCUGUCUGGGCAGCCACUUCCCUGCAUCACCUGCACACUAUGGAAGGAAGCAUGAUAAGUGGACUGCUAACCAUCUCUGGAUACAAGGGUAGCCGGCUCCACGCACUGACCGCAGCUCUGAGGCUGACACUUCCCUGAAGACCCAGAGUGUGGAUCGUCAGUCAGG
This 1919-nucleotide long non-coding RNA is filed under the name Homo sapiens (human). RNAcentral's name for it is "HSALNT0380866". The record is from RNAcentral. Lineage: Eukaryota; Metazoa; Chordata; Mammalia; Primates; Hominidae.